AAUCAACGCUGGCGGCGUGCCUCAGACAUGCAAGUCGAACGCGAAAGUUUCCUUCGGGAAGCGAGUAGAGUGGCGUCCGGGUGAGUAACACGUAGGUAAUCUACCUUUGGGUGGGGAAUAACAACCGGAAACGGUUGCUAAUACCGCAUAAUGCAGCGGCACCACAUGGUGACAGUUGUUAAAGCGGGGGAUCGCAAGACCUCGCGCCUAAAGAGGAGCCUGCGGCGGAUUAGCUAGNGGUAAGGUAACGGCUUACCAAGGCAACGAUCCGUAGCCGGCCUGAGAGGGCGGUCGGCCACACUGACACUGAAAUACGGGUCAGACUCCUACGGGAGGCAGCAGUCGGGAAUUUUGGGCAAUGGGCGAAAGCCUGACCCAGCAACGCCGCGUGAAGGAUGAAAUCCCUCGGGAUGUAAACUUCGCAAGAACAGGAAGAAUAAGUAGGGGACAACUACCCCCUAUGAUGACGGUACUGUUUGUAAGCUCCGGCUAACUCCGUG
This 500-nucleotide ribosomal RNA is filed under the name uncultured bacterium. Its description in RNAcentral is "bacterial SSU rRNA". It matches the Rfam family "Bacterial small subunit ribosomal RNA", at positions 32 to 507 of the family's 1533-position model. The record is from RNAcentral.